Molecule: ribosomal RNA, 415 nt
Filed under: uncultured eukaryote
Lineage: Eukaryota
Description: bacterial SSU rRNA
Rfam family: Eukaryotic small subunit ribosomal RNA
Source: RNAcentral
CAAUAGCGUAUAUUAAAGUUGUUGCAGUUAAAAAGCUCGUAGUUGGACCUCUGGGAGGGACCCAAUGUCCGCCGUGUGCGUGCGCAGCGGGGCCCUUCCAUCCUUCUGUUAACGUUUCUCGGUAUUCGCUUACUGGUUUCGGGCUCAGAUAUUUUUACCUUGAGAAAAUUAGAGUGUUUCAGGCAGGCUAGGCCGGAAUACAUUAGCAUGGAAUAAUGGAAUAGGACUACGGUCUCUUUGUUGGUUUGAGGGACUGCAGUAAUGAUUAAUAGGGAUAGUCGGGGGCGUCAGUAUUCAGCUGUCAGAGGUGAAAUUCUUGGAUUUGCUGAAGACUAACUACUGCGAAAGCAUUCGCCAAGGAUGUUUUCAUUAAUCAGGGAACGAAAGUUAGGGGAUCGAAGAUGAUUAGAUACCA